This 253-nucleotide ribosomal RNA is filed under the name uncultured bacterium. RNAcentral describes it as "partial 16S ribosomal RNA". It matches the Rfam family "Bacterial small subunit ribosomal RNA", at positions 524 to 776 of the family's 1533-position model. The record is from RNAcentral.
UACAGAGGGGGCAAGCGUUAUUCGGAAUUAUUGGGCGUAAAGGGCGCGUAGGCGGCUUUGCAAGUGACGGGUGAAAUCCCUCGGCUUAACCGAGGAACUGCCUGUCAAACUGCAUGGCUUGAGACCGGGAGAGGUGAGUGGAAUUCCCAGUGUAGCGGUGAAAUGCGUAGAUAUUGGGAGGAACACCAGUGGCGAGGGCGGCUCACUGGACCGGUACUGACGCUGAUGCGCGAAAGCGUGGGGAGCAAACAGG